UGCCAGACUCCUACGGGAGGCAGCAGUGGGGAAUAUUGCACAAUGGGGGGAACCCUGAUGCAGCAAUGCCGCGUGGGUGAAGAAGCACUCCGGUGCGUAAAGCCCUGUCAGCAGGGAAGAAAAUGACAGUACCUGGACAAGAAGCCCCGGCUAACUACGUGCCAGCAGCCGCGGUAAUACGUAGGGGGCAAGCGUUAUCCGGAAUUACUGGGUGUAAAGGGAGCGUAGACGGUGAAGUAAGUCUGGAGUGAAAGGCGGGGGCCCAACCCCCGGACUGCUCUGGAAACUAUUUGACUGGAGUGCAGGAGAGGUAAGCGGAAUUCCUAGUGUAGCGGUGAAAUGCGUAGAUAUUAGGAGGAACACCAGUGGCGAAGGCGGCUUACUGGACUGUAACUGACGUUGAGGCUCGAAAGCGUGGGGAGCAAACAGGAUUAGAUACCCCAGUAAA
RNAcentral lists this ribosomal RNA (448 nucleotides) under uncultured bacterium. Its description in RNAcentral is "bacterial SSU rRNA". It matches the Rfam family "Bacterial small subunit ribosomal RNA", at positions 329 to 794 of the family's 1533-position model. The record is from RNAcentral.